Molecule: ribosomal RNA, 1165 nt
Filed under: Salinivibrio costicola subsp. costicola
Lineage: Bacteria; Pseudomonadati; Pseudomonadota; Gammaproteobacteria; Vibrionales; Vibrionaceae
Description: bacterial SSU rRNA
Rfam family: Bacterial small subunit ribosomal RNA
Source: RNAcentral
GGAACAAAGGUGGCUUCUCAUUUAAGUUUGGGGUGGGAUGGGCCCAGUAGGAUUAGCUAGUGGUAAGGUAAUGGCUACCAAGGCAACGAUCCUUAGCUGUUUGAGAGGUGAUCAGCCACACUGGGACUGAGACACGGCCCAGAUUCCUACGGGAGGCAGCAGUGGGAAUAUUGCACAAUGGGGGAGACCCUGAUGCAGCCAUGCCGCGUGUGUGAAGAAGGCCUUCGGGUUGUAAAGCACUUUCAGCAGUGAGGAAGGUCGUGUACUUAAUACGUGCACGGCUUGACGUUAGCUGCAGAAGAAGCACCGGCUAACUCCGUGCCAGCAGCCGCGGUAAUACGGAGGGUGCGAGCGUUAAUCGGAAUUACUGGGCGUAAAGCGCAUGCAGGCGGUUUGUUAAGUCAGAUGUGAAAGCCCGGGGCUCAACCUCGGAACCGCAUUUGAAACUGGCAGGCUAGAGUCUUGUAGAGGGGGGUAGAAUUUCAGGUGUAGCGGUGAAAUGCGUAGAGAUCUGAAGGAAUACCAGUGGCGAAGGCGGCCCCCUGGACAAAGACUGACGCUCAGAUGCGAAAGCGUGGGUAGCAAACAGGAUUAGAUACCCUGGUAGUCCACGCCGUAAACGCUGUCUACUUGGAGGUUGAGGUUUUAGACUUUGGCUUUCGGCGCUAACGCAUUAAGUAGACCGCCUGGGGAGUACGGCCGCAAGGUUAAAACUCAAAUGAAUUGACGGGGGCCCGCACAAGCGGUGGAGCAUGUGGUUUAAUUCGAUGCAACGCGAAGAACCUUACCUACUCUUGACAUCCAGCGAAGCCUUUAGAGAUAGAGGUGUGCCUUCGGGAGCGCUGAGACAGGUGCUGCAUGGCUGUCGUCAGCUCGUGUUGUGAAAUGUUGGGUUAAGUCCCGCAACGAGCGCAACCCUUAUCCUUGUUUGCCAGCACAUAAUGGUGGGAACUCCAGGGAGACUGCCGGUGAUAAACCGGAGGAAGGUGGGGACGACGUCAAGUCAUCAUGGCCCUUACGAGUAGGGCUACACACGUGCUACAAUGGCAGAUACAGAGGGCAGCGAGACAGCGAUGUUUAGCGAAUCCCUUAAAGUUUGUCGUAGUCCGGAUUGGAGUCUGCAACUCGACUCCGUGAAGUCGGAAUCGCUGUAAUCGUGUCAGAA